This 684-nucleotide long non-coding RNA is filed under the name Fukomys damarensis (Damara mole-rat). Its description in RNAcentral is "lncRNA (ENSFDAG00000032502.1)". Lineage: Eukaryota; Metazoa; Chordata; Mammalia; Rodentia; Bathyergidae. The record is from RNAcentral.
AACAGAUCUAUCCAGCGCACUGUGGCGAGAUCUUAAAAUGACUGUGUUCAAGGUGGGAAGAAGCUGCAGGAAGUCUAUUGGGCAACACAACACAGGAUGUUCAAAUGGCUGCCUGUGGGAGAAGGAAAUAACAGUGAAGAACGGCACACAAUGGGUACAUGAAGUAAUCAAUGUGCUGCCGACCGUAGGGGAGCAAAGACUGGAUUUCACGAGGAGAACAGGGAUCUUCAGAAAGGUGGGAGCAGGUUUGGCGGUGACAGUCAGAAACCACACAGCACUGAGUAGUGAAGGUAGUAGCUGCUGCAAUUUUAUUUCUAACUCUAGAUGUAUAUAUACUAGUUUCAAGGGCACACUUCAAGAGUGAUUCCAGUCACAGGCAGGCAUGAGAAAGAUAGACAAUAGUACUGUAAAAGCUAAGACCACAAGGUCAAGGUGAGACCACACCUAUAUACAAUCACAAAAGCUAAGACCACUAAGUCAAGGUAAGACCACACCUAUACGCAGUCAGAAGGGGAAGUUUGUAAAACAAAGGACUGGCUUCAGCAUGUUACCUUCAGGAUCACCUUCAGGACUUCACAGUCCCAGGCUCAGGGUCAGCACUUUGGCCGCCCGUCCUCUUGUGCCCCAACACCUCCCCAUCUCUAGGAACAUCUAAUUGUUCCUGAUCUUUCCUGGGCCCAGCAU